AUUGAACGCUGGCGGCAGGCCUAACACAUGCAAGUCGAACGAGUGGCGGACGGGUGAGUAAUGUCUGGGACACUGCCUGAUGGAGGGGGAUAACUACUGGAAACGGUAGCUAAUACCGCAUACCAUCGGAUGUGCCCAGAUGGGAUUAGCUAGUAGGUGGGGUAAAGGCUCACCUAGGCGACGAUCCCUAGCUGGUCUGAGAGUAUGACCAGCCACACUGGAAGUGGGACACGUGCAAGACUCUUACGGGAGGCAGCAGUGGGGAAUAUUGGAAAAUGGGCGCAAGCCUGAUGCAGACAUGCCGCGGGUAUGAAGAAGGCCUUCGGGUUGUAAAGUACUUUCAGCGGGGAGGCGUUACCCGAAGAAGAAGCACCGGCUAACUCCGUGCCAGCAGCCGCGGUAAUUC
RNAcentral lists this ribosomal RNA (406 nucleotides) under uncultured bacterium. RNAcentral's name for it is "partial 16S ribosomal RNA". It matches the Rfam family "Bacterial small subunit ribosomal RNA", at positions 30 to 526 of the family's 1533-position model. The record is from RNAcentral.